CUAUUAUAUGAAAGAAUAGAAGGUUAGUAUUCUCCUUGAUAAAGAUAAAAGUUUAUUGGCUUUUUU
This is a small nuclear RNA of Monodelphis domestica (gray short-tailed opossum), 66 nucleotides long. The record is from Ensembl. NCBI's taxonomy places the organism in Eukaryota, Metazoa, Chordata, Mammalia, Didelphimorphia, Didelphidae.